UUGUUGCACUAGGGGAGCUAUGUACAUGGCUGAGAGGAGAUGGUAUCCGACCCUUAUAACCCGAACUAGAUAAUACUAGCGUGGGGAAGUGUAGUCGAAACUGC
Molecule: non-coding RNA, 104 nt
Filed under: Pontibacillus litoralis
Lineage: Bacteria; Bacillati; Bacillota; Bacilli; Caryophanales; Bacillaceae
Also listed under: 1 other name
Description: TPP sequence
Rfam family: TPP riboswitch aptamer (THI element)
About the family: Vitamin B(1) in its active form thiamin pyrophosphate (TPP) is an essential coenzyme that is synthesised by coupling of pyrimidine and thiazole moieties in bacteria.
Source: RNAcentral